GACGAACGCUGACGGCGUGCUUAACACAUGCAAGUCGAAGGGAGUGGCGAACGGGUGAGUAACACGUGAGUAACCUGCCCUUUUCUUUGGGAUAAGCCUGGGAAACUGGGUCUAAUACUGGAUGGCUUGGGAUGGGCUCGCGGCUUAUCGGCUUGUUGGUGGGGUGAUGGCUUACCAAGGCUUUGACGGGUAGCCGGCCUGAGCGGGGGCUCGGUUACACGGGGACUGCGAGACGGCCCAGACUCGUCCGGGAGGCAGCAGUGGGGGAUAUUGCACAAUGGAUGAAAGUCUGAUGCAGCGACGUCGUGUGGGGGAUGAAGGCCUUCUGGUUGUAAACUCCUUUCGCCCGCGGAAUGGUAGUGGGUAAAGAAGCGCCGGCUAACUACGUGCCAGCAGCCGCGGUAAUUC
RNAcentral lists this ribosomal RNA (408 nucleotides) under uncultured bacterium. RNAcentral describes it as "partial 16S ribosomal RNA". It matches the Rfam family "Bacterial small subunit ribosomal RNA", at positions 28 to 526 of the family's 1533-position model. The record is from RNAcentral.